Pelobates cultripes (western spadefoot toad) is the source of this 112-nucleotide non-coding RNA. The record is from the annotation of a GenBank genome assembly. NCBI's taxonomy places the organism in Eukaryota, Metazoa, Chordata, Amphibia, Anura, Pelobatidae.
GUCUGCUCAGCUCCCUCGUGCGCCGCACAGUGAGGUUGGGAGCCGGAAUAUGAUGUCAUAUUCCGGCUCCCGGCAUCACUCUGCGGGCGGCGCGCGAAGGAGCUGAGCAGAC